UAUCAACGGCAUCACGAGGAUCCUACUGUCUCCCCCCUCUAAUCAGUGAAACUGAUCUCCCCGUGAAGAAGCGGGGAUAUACAUAUAAGACGAGAAGACCCCAUGGAGCUUUAAACCUGACAGCACCCGCUCAUUCUAUACCCCAUUAUUUGCCCGACCUCUGUCUGCUCAGUUUUAGGUUGGGGUGACCACGGAGUAUAAAAUAACCUCCAUGAAGAAGGGGAUAUUUCCCUUAUUAGAGAACCACACUUCCAAGAACUAAUAAAUUAAUUUUCAAUGACCCGAUACCCGAUAAUCGAUCAACGAACCAAGUUACCCUGGGGAUAACAGCGCAAUCCACCCUGAAAGCCCUUAUUAACAGGUGGGUUUACGACCUCGAUGUUGGAUCAGGGUAUCCCAGUGGUGCAGCAGCUACUGAGGGUUCGUUUGUUCAACGAUUAAAACCCU
This 447-nucleotide ribosomal RNA is filed under the name Boophis quasiboehmei. RNAcentral describes it as "partial 16S ribosomal RNA". It matches the Rfam family "Bacterial large subunit ribosomal RNA", at positions 1991 to 2597 of the family's 2925-position model. The record is from RNAcentral. Lineage: Eukaryota; Metazoa; Chordata; Amphibia; Anura; Mantellidae.